This 548-nucleotide ribosomal RNA is filed under the name uncultured Actinomycetes bacterium. RNAcentral describes it as "bacterial SSU rRNA". It matches the Rfam family "Bacterial small subunit ribosomal RNA", at positions 98 to 645 of the family's 1533-position model. Lineage: Bacteria; Bacillati; Actinomycetota; Actinomycetes. The record is from RNAcentral.
GCGAACGGGUGAGUAACACGUGAGUAACCUGCCCCCUUCUUUGGGAUAACGGUCGGAAACGGCUGCUAAUACCGGGUAUUCACUGUCCUUCGCAUGGGGGGUGGUGGAAAGGUUUUUUCUGGUGGGGGAUGGGCUCGCGGCCUAUCAGCUUGUUGGUGGGGUGAUGGCUUACCAAGGCUUUGACGGGUAACCGGCCUGAGAGGGUGACCGGUCACAUUGGGACUGAGAUACGGCCCAGACUCCUACGGGAGGCAGCAGUGGGGAAUAUUGCACAAUGGGCGAAAGCCUGAUGCAGCGACGCCGCGUGAGGGAUGACGGCCUUCGGGUUGUAAACCUCUUUCGCUCAUGGUCAAGCCGCAACAGUGGUUGUGGUGAGGGUAGUGGGUAAAGAAGCACCGGCUAACUACGUGCCAGCAGCCGCGGUAAUACGUAGGGUGCGAGCGUUGUCCGGAAUUAUUGGGCGUAAAGGGCUUGUAGGCGGUUUGUCGCGUCUGCCGUGAAAUCCUCUGGCUUAACUGGGGGCGUGCGGUGGGUACGGGCAGGCUUGA